Molecule: long non-coding RNA, 219 nt
Filed under: Mytilus galloprovincialis (Mediterranean mussel)
Lineage: Eukaryota; Metazoa; Mollusca; Bivalvia; Mytilida; Mytilidae
Source: RNAcentral
GGUAAAAUGCAGUUUUUGGCUUAUAACUCAAAAACCAGAGCAUUUUGAGGAAAUCUGACAUGGGAUAAAAAUGUUUAUCAGGUCAAGAUCUAUCUGCCCUGAAAUUUUCAGUUGAAUCAGUCAACCCGUUGUUGGGUUGCUGCCCCUGAAUUGGUAAUUUUGAGGAAAUUUUGCUGUUUUUGGUUAUUAUCUUGAAUAUUAUUAUAGAUAGAGAUAAAC